UGUUAUCUUCAUUCUGUGAACGCAUGCUGAUGUCUUUUUUCUGAAUAUGUUAACGCCAGAUGGUCAUUUUAUGACUUGAAGAGGAUAAAAUAUGUACCAAACAACUCAUGAUUUUCCAGUUGUUCAAUCUUGCUAUAUAUAAAAAAGAAUGCUUAGUUCCAAAAUGGAUCGGAACAGCCUCCAGUGCAAAUGCGUGGUCAUCUUGGCGGCCCUGGUUCUCAUUUCCGGUUUACCAAUAGAACAAGAUCCGGUUGACGCUGAUAUUGACGGCAACCAGCAACAGACUCUCAUGGACAUGAAACGGUCUUGCUUUGAAUUUUGUUUUACCAGACACAUGCCAUGUCCACUGAUAUGUCGCUCGGUGCUGAAAAAUGACGCGUUCAAUCUGGGCGUGGACAAACGUUCAUUGGGUGGUGGGAUUGACGGGUUCACAUUCGACGACUACUUAUUUCUGCGGUGGCUUGGUCGCGACUUAACCCAAAGGAGUCGGCUGUACAAAUGAGAGACGCGCAAUGAAAUUGCAGAAAUUAGUAUCGUGGAUAUAAAGGGACAAACAAAAAGUGUCCAUUUGUUGUGAACUAUCAGCAGCUGCAAAUACGGAGGACUUCAUUCACUGAGAAAUUAAUACACUUUCUUCACAUUUCAAAAUGUAACAUUUCAAAAAGGAAUAUGAUCAUGAUAAUUAAUAUUUGAUUGCCUAUGUUGUCAACAUAUAAUAGUUGUGUAAUAUAAUACAUUUUCUUCACUGAUAAAUACUUUUCUAAACGUAUGGUAUUAUUUAUUUGGGCAUAGUUCGGUUGGUUAAUUGUUUUUAAGUACGUAUUUGCAUACAAGAUAGUAUCCAAGUUUUAUUGCUU
Long non-coding RNA from Dreissena polymorpha, 857 nucleotides. RefSeq lists it as uncharacterized. Lineage: Eukaryota; Metazoa; Mollusca; Bivalvia; Myida; Dreissenidae. The transcript has 5 exons. The record is from RefSeq and is a predicted model, not a curated record.